Molecule: long non-coding RNA, 2678 nt
Filed under: Hordeum vulgare
Lineage: Eukaryota; Viridiplantae; Streptophyta; Magnoliopsida; Poales; Poaceae
Description: long non-coding RNA (HVUL_LNC003913)
Source: RNAcentral
CCUUAUCCCUUUUUCUGCCGCCGUCCUGCGCGGGUUCCCCGCUGGCGGCUGGCCGCACCUUACCACCCACGUCCGACCAUCCUCCGCCCAAGUAGAUAGGAAGAAGCGAGGAGGGACGUAUCCGACUGCGGCACCUAGGAGAGGUGGACCAGGGGAGACGCAUCUCCCCGGCAAGCACGGGAAUACUGCUGUGAUUCAAACAGGGUGACGGGCCGCCGGCGGCGCCGCCCGAGUACACAGCCUACAUCGCCCACGGUCGGCGCUCAGUUUCACGCCCAUCGCCACCGGCGACCUCUCGGGAAACGGCCAGACGGUGGGAGUUUAGGACACCACUGCCGAUGCGGCCAUAACCUGGGCUUCUCCUUAUCCACAUCCCGGCGGUUGGCUCUGCUUCUUCUCCAGUGAUCGUUGCAAUAUCUACCUCUAGAUACCUAGGCAGGUGAGGUAUGUCGCUGUCCAUUUAUUCCAUUAAUCCAUUCUCCCCUGUUCCGGCUUUUUAUCAUGAAUACGCAGAUUUAGAUUAGGUGAUGUGGUACUUUGAUCGUUUGAUGACGAGUACUCUAAUUACUGUGAUUGUGUGAUCCUGAUACUGUAUUUUGUUUCCUCGAAGUUUAAUGUUUGAGACUUGGAGCUUUAUAGCUUAUUGUUGAUACUGGUUUGUGACUUGGAUUGCAAAUAUGUGUCUCGUAGCUUGUUGCUGCUGUUGGAGCACUAAACACUUGGUCUUGGACAUCAUAGCCACCCCACCAUUACCUUGGACGCUACUUCAAAUCCUGGCGGCACAAAAUUUUAGUGGAAACACAAGGUAACAAAUCUUGCAACCUGGAUGUGAUGGUUUUAUUUGUUUAUUCUGUUAUCCCUUGAUUAGGGAACCUGAUACUUUUUGGAAUCAACUGAAAAGAAAUAUAAGAUUCUGUUAUCUAUUGGCUUGAUUCUAUUAUCACCAUAUUAGUUGAUGAGAAUCCUCUUAAACCACGUCUCCUUGUCAAGUUCUGAAACUUAUUUAUCACUCCCACUUUAGAACGGAACCUCGUUGCCAAGUGGCAACUGAUUCAUAGUAAAUUGCCCUCUGACACCCAAUAGAAUAGGUUGUUGUUGUUUUUUUAUUUCACCAAUGAGCUAUUUUAAAACAGGCAAAUAUCAGUGACAAAAUUAAUGCAAAAAUAUGCCCUUAGACCGAUGUGGCAUGCAUGUAACAUAGUUAACUGCUCGACAAGAAUUGAGCCAAUCGAACGUCUAUAGACGACAAAGCGCCAUGGGGGCUCGUAGGUCACCCAAUUACUGGUUCUUAAUUUCCUGGCCCCCUUGUGUUUCUUUCUAGCUUGUGCAGUUAUGCAUAUAUGUGCUCAAUCAUACAUGUCAUCUCUACCAUAAAGCACCAAGUUCACAUUAUAUUAUAAUUACCAUCCACAUAUGAUUUAGUUUAACUUCUUCUGAUUUGUAAUGAACUUCUAGUUGAAUCCUUUAUUGAAUCUUAUUUUUUAGGAAAUUUGCAAGUGGGGAUUAGAAAUAUUAUUCUAAACUGAAUGAAGAAGCUAUGCACCUUUUUUGUGAACUUUUAUAGGCUUGCAUAGUUUUUGCUCUUCGACAAUGAACCUUGUAAAAUUUCAAAAAAUUCUUACUAAGAUAAUUAAGCUUCAUGUAUGACAGAUUUUCAUUAGGAAUAGAUACUUCUUUUGUCAAAGAAGUACCAUGUCAGAUUUACCAUCUUGUAAAAUCAACUGCGAUGGGGCGUUCCCUGCACCUGAGGGCACUAGUGGUGGUGGCUGGGGCUUCGUCAUACAACACUUGCCAGGAGAUGUGAGAGGCUCUGGAACGGGGCGCCUUCGACAUGUAGCAAGUGCUCUUCAAGCGGAAGCGAGGGCAUGCAGUGCUGCUUUGCAAGCGGCCUCCUGACGGGGUAUGAAAAAUGUGGAGGUCGAGUCUAAUUACCAGACACUGAUAAAAGCGCUCCAAUGUUCAGUUUAUGACAGGGCACCAGAAGGAAUUUUAUUCACAGAGAUUUGGGACUUCGCUCGUCUAAGUUUCAGUGCUUGCAUGUUUUCUACUGCCCCCAAGGCAUGUAAUAACUUGGUGCACGCUCUUGCAGCUUUUGGUGCCUCUCAACAGGCAGACCUACAUCUGUGGUUAGAGGACCUGCCUGACAAGGUACUUGUUCAACGGGACAGCGCUUUGGCUACGGAGUAUGGAAAAGUACUGUACUAGACUACCAAUUAGUGCUUGAUUGAUGCUAUAGUUGUAUGAUUGUACAGUUCAGAACUUAAGCUCUCGUUCAUUAGUGGUCUUGCGCUCCUUCGUGAGUACUGAUCUCAAAUAUUCAAAUUUUUAUGGUCAUUUUAAAGUUGUGCAUUUGGCAUGUGUGAUUGUCGAGUCAUCCAGAACUUUGCGUAAAAUAUGGUUGAUAUGAUAUCCAUUGCAACUAUACCGAAAUAGUUUGGUAUUUAGUUUACCAACCAAAUGGUAUUGUUUUUCAUACCAUAUUGACCAAAGAAUGUAAACCGGAUUUACUAGGGAAAAACUAUUGAUACAAAGAUAUGUUGCACAUGGAACCGGAUUUUCUAGGGAAAAGGUAUUGAUACAAAGAUAUGUUGCACAUGGGCCCUGUGUCAGGGUGUUGGUGAUUGUUUUUUGUUUUUCUUAUUUCUCCCAAUAACAGAGCUUGUAACACUAUGUAUGGA